AGUGAACGCUGGCGGUAGGCCUAACACAUGCAAGUCGAACGGCAGCACAGUAAGAGCUUGCUCUUACGGGUGGCGAGUGGCGGACGGGUGAGGAAUACAUCGGAAUCUACUUUUUCGUGGGGGAUAACGUAGGGAAACUUACGCUAAUACCGCAUACGACCUACGGGUGAAAGCAGGGGAUCUUCGGACCUUGCGCGAUUGAAUGAGCCGAUGUCGGAUUAGCUAGUUGGCGGGGUAAAGGCCCACCAAGGCGACGAUCCGUAGCUGGUCUGAGAGGAUGAUCAGCCACACUGGAACUGAGACACGGUCCAGACUCCUACGGCAGGCAGCAGUGGGGAAUAUUGGACAAAGGGCGCAAGCCUGAUCCAGCCAUACCGCGUGGGUGAAGAAGGCCUUCGGGUUGUAAAGCCCUUUUGUUGGGAAAGAAAAGCAGCAGGUUAAUACCCCGCUGUUCUGACGGUACCCAAAGAAUAAGCACCGGCUAACUUCGUG
Molecule: ribosomal RNA, 492 nt
Filed under: uncultured bacterium
Lineage: Bacteria
Description: partial 16S ribosomal RNA
Rfam family: Bacterial small subunit ribosomal RNA
Source: RNAcentral